This is a long non-coding RNA of Ictalurus punctatus (channel catfish), 1176 nucleotides long. The record is from Ensembl. Lineage: Eukaryota; Metazoa; Chordata; Actinopteri; Siluriformes; Ictaluridae.
UUCUUGUGUUGUUACACGACAGUUGUAUACACGCCCCUGUGCUUUCUCCGACCAAAUUGUGGGUUGGGGGCUGAGAGUGUAGGGGGGAGAUGGAAAUGAAAGUGAGUUAUAAGGUGUGUAAUCUUUAGUGUUAGCCAGACCCUCUCGAGUCAGCAUUCAACUUCACAAUGAACCUGCUCUAUCCACUCUUCUUCUGCAUGGUGUUCUGCCUCUGUGCCAGAGAAACAGUGAGUUGGCCCAGCUUUUGCUGCUUGAAAACAACUCAACAUAAAGGACUGUCUGUGAAAAAUGUUGCCGAUUGUAAAGUCCAGUAUUCAGGACUUUGCCCCUUUGAUACAAUCAUUAUCAAGACCCAUAAAGGCCGGAACCUCUGUUAUGAUCUAAAGGCAGAGUGGGUUAUUAAAAAUGUUGUGAUGAAGGGAAAAGACUCUUGUGAGGUGAUCAUUCCACAGAACAACCCCUAACCACUGAUAUGGCUUAUACUAAUGGUUCUUCAGUUAAGACUACUAUAACAUUGGACUAAACUAGUAGGUCUGGUUGGCCUAGACUUAGUUGGAUAGAAUAGACUGUUUGUAAUCUAUUACAACUUAUAUCUUUAUGUGUUAUUAUGUCUUUUUUUUGUGUAUACUGUAAAUAAUAUGUAGUCCUCAGAAUUUGCAAAGUAUGUCAUGUACCAAUGUCACGUAAACGUACCCAUGUCUAAUACAUGACCUUUAAAAAAAUACCACAACAUCUGUAAUGAAGGUUGUAAUAUUUUUAUGAUGAAAUACAAAUUGUUUUGUUUACAUUUAGCAAUUUUGUUAGGAACACAUAACUAACACUUGAAUGUGACUCCAUAUAGAUAGUAUAUACAGUAUAUCCAUUAAUGUAGUACUAUCUAUAGAUUGUAAAUGCUAUAUAUAGUACAUUAGUCACUAUUUUACUCUGUAAUUAUUAUUUAGAAGUACUGAAUUCAAUAAUAAUAAUUUAAAUAUUUAAUAUCAGUAUAUAGUAUCUCAAUUAGGAGACUUGCUUGUUACUUUCUACUUCAUAUACUUCACACACUUUUGAUUGUGUAAUCUUGAUGACUUUUUAACUGUUCUGCACAUCAUACUUUACAUUCUGCUAUUCGGGAACAACUGAGUUUAAUUUUGAGGAUUAAUAAAAAUGUAUCUUAUUAUUAAAUCUUUUGUGUAU